This 465-nucleotide ribosomal RNA is filed under the name Vreelandella stevensii. RNAcentral describes it as "partial 16S ribosomal RNA". It matches the Rfam family "Bacterial small subunit ribosomal RNA", at positions 338 to 795 of the family's 1533-position model. Lineage: Bacteria; Pseudomonadati; Pseudomonadota; Gammaproteobacteria; Oceanospirillales; Halomonadaceae. The record is from RNAcentral.
CCUACGGGAGGCAGCAGUGGGGAAUAUUGGACAAUGGGGGGAACCCUGAUCCAGCCAUGCCGCGUGUGUGAAGAAGGCCCUCGGGUUGUAAAGCACUUUCAGUGAGGAAGAACGCCUGGUGGUUAAUACCCAUCAGGAAAGACAUCACUCACAGAAGAAGCACCGGCUAACUCCGUGCCAGCAGCCGCGGUAAUACGGAGGGUGCGAGCGUUAAUCGGAAUUACUGGGCGUAAAGCGCGCGUAGGUGGCUUGAUAAGCCGGUUGUGAAAGCCCCGGGCUCAACCUGGGAACGGCAUCCGGAACUGUCAAGCUAGAGUGCAGGAGAGGAAGGUAGAAUUCCCGGUGUAGCGGUGAAAUGCGUAGAGAUCGGGAGGAAUACCAGUGGCGAAGGCGGCCUUCUGGGCUGACACUGACACUGAGGUGCGAAAGCGUGGGUAGCAAACAGGAUUAGAUACCCUUGUAGUC